RNAcentral lists this ribosomal RNA (497 nucleotides) under uncultured bacterium. RNAcentral describes it as "partial 16S ribosomal RNA". It matches the Rfam family "Bacterial small subunit ribosomal RNA", at positions 28 to 507 of the family's 1533-position model. The record is from RNAcentral.
GAUGAACGCUGGCGGCGUGCCUAAUACAUGCAAGUCGAGCGAACAGACGAGGAGCUUGCUCCUCUGACGUUAGCGGCGGACGGGUGAGUAACACGUGGAUAACCUACCUAUAAGACUGGGAUAACUUCGGGAAACCGGAGCUAAUACCGGAUAAUAUAUUGAACCGCAUGGUUCAAUAGUGAAAGACGGUUUUGCUGUCACUUAUAGAUUGAUCCGCGCCGCAUUAGCUAGUUGGUAAGGUAACGGCUUACCAAGGCAACGAUGCGUAGCCGACCUGAGAGGGUGAUCGCCCACACUGGAACUGAGACACGGUCCAGACUCCUACGGGAGGCCGCAGUAGGGAAUCUUCCGCAAUGGGCGAAAGCCUGACGGAGCAACGCCGCGUGAGUGAUGAAGGUCUUCGGAUCGUAAAACUCUGUUAUUAGGGAAGAACAAAUGUGUAAGUAACUAUGCACGUCUUGACGGUACCUAAUCAGAAAGCCACGGCUAACUACGUG